AUUGAACGCUGGCGGCAGGCCUAACACAUGCAAGUCGAGCGAGCGGCGGACGGGUGAGUAAUGUAUGGGGACUGCCCGAUAGAGGGGGAUAACUACUGGAAACGGUGGCUAAUACCGCAUACUAUCGGAUAACCCAUAUGGGAUUAGCUAGUAGGUGGGGUAAAGGCUCACCUAGGCGACGAUCUCUAGCUGGUCUGAGAGGAUGAUCAGCCACACUGGGACUGAGACACGGCCCAGACUCCUACGGAGGCAGAAGUGGGGAAGAUUGCACAAUGGGGGCAAGUCUGAUGCAGCCAUGCCGCGUGAAUGAAGAAGGACUUAGGGUUGUAAAGUACUUUCAUCAGGGAGGCGUUACCUAAAGAAAAAGCACCGGCUAACUCCGUGCCAGCAGCCGCGGUAAUUC
This 403-nucleotide ribosomal RNA is filed under the name uncultured bacterium. RNAcentral describes it as "partial 16S ribosomal RNA". It matches the Rfam family "Bacterial small subunit ribosomal RNA", at positions 30 to 526 of the family's 1533-position model. The record is from RNAcentral.